This 87-nucleotide microRNA precursor is filed under the name Ochotona princeps (American pika). Its description in RNAcentral is "miRNA (ENSOPRG00000023826.1)". Lineage: Eukaryota; Metazoa; Chordata; Mammalia; Lagomorpha; Ochotonidae. The record is from RNAcentral.
CCCGCGCCCGCCGGGCCGAGGUGGGAUCCCGAGGCCUCUCCAGUCCGCCGAGGGCGCACCCCGGCCCGUCUCGCCCGCCGCGCCGGG